This 261-nucleotide ribosomal RNA is filed under the name Triticum aestivum (bread wheat). Its description in RNAcentral is "partial small subunit ribosomal RNA". Lineage: Eukaryota; Viridiplantae; Streptophyta; Magnoliopsida; Poales; Poaceae. The record is from RNAcentral.
AUGGCAAUUGUCCAUACAUUCGGGAAGCCUGACAUCUUCUUGACCAUGACUUGCAACCCUAAAUGGCGAGAGAUAACGAAUGAGUUGCUUCCUGAUAAGACGGUGCAAGACCGUCCUGAUAUUGUGGCUCGCGUGUUCUACGGAAAACUAGAGGCUAUGAAAGACAUGUUGCUCAAGAAGAUGGUCCUGGGUGUUGUUGUUGCUUAUGUGUACGUAGUCGAGUUCCAAAAGAGGGGCCUCCCCACACACAUUUUUUGUUGA